AUUGAACGCUGGCGGCAGGCCUAACACAUGCAAGUCGAGGGAUGAAGGGAGCUUGCUCCUGGAUUCAGCGGCGGACGGGUGAGUAAUGCCUAGGAAUCUGCCUGGUAGUGGGGGAUAACGUCCGGAAACGGGCGCUAAUACCGCAUACGUCCUGAGGGAGAAAGUGGGGGAUCUUCGGACCUCACGCUCUCAGAUGAGCCUAGGUCGGAUUAGCUAGUUGGUGGGGUAAAGGCCUACCAAGGCGACGAUCCGUAACUGGUCUGAGAGGAUGAUCAGUCACACUGGAACUGAGACACGGUCCAGACUCCUACGGGAGGCAGCAGUGGGGAAUAUUGGACAAUGGGCGAAAGCCUGAUCCAGCCAUGCCGCGUGUGUGAAGAAGGUCUUCGGAUUGUAAAGCACUUUAAGUUGGGAGGAAGGGCAGUAAGUUAAUACCUUGCUGUUUUGACGUUACCAACAGAAUAAGCACCGGCUAACUUCGUG
Molecule: ribosomal RNA, 483 nt
Filed under: uncultured bacterium
Lineage: Bacteria
Description: partial 16S ribosomal RNA
Rfam family: Bacterial small subunit ribosomal RNA
Source: RNAcentral